CCUUCUCCAAGACCAACUUCUCCAAGAGUUGCCUCACCACGAGCCGCUUCGCCAAGAGCUGAAGUUCCAAGAUCCCUUUCGCCAAAGCCUCCUUCUCCAAGAGCUGAAGUUCCUAGAUCCCGUACACCAAAGCCCUCUGAUCGAUCAAAGCCAUCAUCAGCCUCUGCCAAUGCUCCUCCUCUGAGGCCUGCUACUACUCGAGUUCCUUCUCAGAGAGUUACCCCUCCCAGUGUUCCUUCUCCAAGACCAAGUUCACCAAGAGGUGCCUCCCCACAAGCCGUCUCUUUAAAGCCACCUUCUCCAAGAGCAGAGCCACCAACAUCGGACACUCCAAGACCUUCUUCGCCAAAGCUUCCUACUCCAAGAGCAGCUACCCUAAGAGCAGACCCACCAAGAUUGGAUGCUCCAAGAUCCACCACACCUAAACCUCCUUCUCCAAGAGCAGACGCACCAAGAUUGGAUGCUCCAAGACCCACCACACCUAAACCUCCUUCUCCAAGAGCAGACGCUCCAAGAUUGGAUGCUCCAAGACCCACCACGCCUAAGCCCCCUUCUCCAAGAGCAGACGGACCAAGAUUGGAUGCUCCAAGACCCACCACUCCUAAGCCUCCUUCUCCAAGAGCAGACGCAUCAAGACUGGAUGCCCCACGUCCCACUACGCCCAAGCCACAUUCUCCAAGAGCAGACCCAUCAAGAUU
Molecule: long non-coding RNA, 698 nt
Filed under: Capsella grandiflora
Lineage: Eukaryota; Viridiplantae; Streptophyta; Magnoliopsida; Brassicales; Brassicaceae
Description: long non-coding RNA (CGRA_LNC001138)
Source: RNAcentral